Molecule: unclassified non-coding RNA, 342 nt
Filed under: soil metagenome
Description: partial contains 5.8S ribosomal RNA, internal transcribed spacer 2, and large subunit ribosomal RNA
Rfam family: 5.8S ribosomal RNA (bases 1-120)
Source: RNAcentral
GAUAAAGAACGCAGCGAAAUGCGAUAAGUAGUGUGAAUUGCAGAAUUCAGUGAAUCAUCGAAUCUUUGAACGCACAUUGCGCCCUUUGGUAUUCCAAAGGGCAUGCCUGUUCGAGCGUCAUUUGUACCCUCAAGCUUUGCUUGGUGUUGGGCGUCUUGUCUCUAGCUUUGCUGGAGACUCGCCUUAAAGUAAUUGGCAGCCGGCCUACUGGUUUCGGAGCGCAGCACAAGUCGCACUCUCUAUCAGCAAAGGUCUAGCAUCCAUUAAGCCUUUUUUUUCAACUUUUGACCUCGGAUCAGGUAGGGAUACCCGCUGAACUUAAGCAUAUCAAUAAGCGGAGGA